GAUGAACGCUGGCGGCGUGCCUAAUACAUGCAAGUCGAGCGAACGGACGAGAAGCUUGCUUCUCUGAUGUUAGCGGCGGACGGGUGAGUAACACGUGGAUAACCUACCUAUAAGACUGGGAUAACUUCGGGAAACCGGAGCUAAUACCGGAUAAUAUUUUGAACCGCAUGGUUCAAAAGUGAAAGACGGUCUUGCUGUCACUUAUAGAGGGAUCCGCGCUGCAUUAGAUAGUUGGGAAGGUAACGGCUUACCAAGGCAACGAGGCAUAGCCGACCUGAGAGGGUGAUAGGCCACACUGGAGCUGAGACACGGUCCAGACUCCUACGGGAGGCAGCAGUAGGGAAUCUUCCGCAAUGGGCGAAAGACUGACGGAGCAGCGCCGCGUGAGUGAUGAAGGUCUUCGGAUCGUAAAACUCUGUUAUUAGGGAAGAACAUAUGUGUAAGUAACUGUACACAUCGUGACGGUACCUAAUCAGAAAGCCACGGCUAACUACGUG
Molecule: ribosomal RNA, 497 nt
Filed under: uncultured bacterium
Lineage: Bacteria
Description: partial 16S ribosomal RNA
Rfam family: Bacterial small subunit ribosomal RNA
Source: RNAcentral